UGGGUGGAUCCUUGGACUCCUUUGCCGUCAGGGGACAGCCUGUGAUACAGUGGAAUGGAAGCAGAUAGAAGCGGCGUAAGUUCCGACAAGAUGGAAGCUCUCAGCAGUUCCUGUUCUAGCACCAUGCCUGCCUCCCUGUGACGAUGUUCUCACCACCCUCUCCACCAUGAUAGUCAUAGACUCACUCUCUGCAACUGUUCUGCUUGGGCUCUUAGAAUCACCAGUGAAACCAUGUGUUCACAAGCCUCUGGGAUGACAGAAGAGCAAGC
Long non-coding RNA from Psammomys obesus (fat sand rat), 269 nucleotides. RefSeq lists it as uncharacterized. Lineage: Eukaryota; Metazoa; Chordata; Mammalia; Rodentia; Muridae. The record is from RefSeq and is a predicted model, not a curated record. The transcript is spliced from 3 exons.